GCCUGCAUAGCUCAGGGGCAGAGCACUAGUCUUGUAAACUAGGGGUCGUGAGUUCAAUUCUCACUGUGGGCU
RNAcentral lists this transfer RNA (72 nucleotides) under Tigriopus californicus. RNAcentral describes it as "tRNA-Thr for anticodon UGU". It matches the Rfam family "tRNA". From Rfam's summary of the family: Transfer RNA (tRNA) molecules are approximately 80 nucleotides in length. Their secondary structure includes four short double-helical elements and three loops (D, anti-codon, and T loops). Lineage: Eukaryota; Metazoa; Arthropoda; Copepoda; Harpacticoida; Harpacticidae. The record is from Rfam by way of RNAcentral.